GUGCACCAGGCGAGAAUACUUUACAAUGUGCGAAAGCACGAUAAGGGAACUCUGAGUGCCUCCUAAGGAGGCUGUUCAGGUGUCUAAAAAGCACCUGGAGUAAGGGCUGGGUAAGACCGGUGCCAGCCGCCGCGGUAACACCGGCAGCCCCAGGUGGUAGCCACUUUUAUUGGGUCUAAAGCGUCCGUAGCCGGUUGAGUAAGUUCCUUGGGAAAUUUGGCUGCUCAACAGUCAAGCUUCCAGGGAAUACUGCUCGACUUGGGACUGGGAGAGGGUCAGAGGUACUCCGAGGGGUAGGGGUGAAAGUCCAUUAAUCCCCUGGGGGACCACCGGUAGCGAAGGCGUCUGACCAGACCAGGUCCGACGGGUGAGGGACGAAGGCUA
Molecule: ribosomal RNA, 384 nt
Filed under: uncultured microorganism
Description: bacterial SSU rRNA
Rfam family: Archaeal small subunit ribosomal RNA
Source: RNAcentral